RNAcentral lists this unclassified non-coding RNA (253 nucleotides) under uncultured Alcanivoracaceae bacterium. RNAcentral describes it as "contains 16S-23S intergenic spacer region". It matches the Rfam family "Bacterial small subunit ribosomal RNA", at positions 524 to 776 of the family's 1533-position model. Lineage: Bacteria; Pseudomonadati; Pseudomonadota; Gammaproteobacteria; Oceanospirillales; Alcanivoracaceae. The record is from RNAcentral.
UACGGAGGGUGCGAGCGUUAAUCGGAAUUACUGGGCGUAAAGGGCGCGUAGGCGGCGUGUUCAGUCGGCUGUGAAAGCCCCGGGCUCAACCCGGGAAUGGCAUCCGAUACUGGCACGCUAGAGUGCAGUAGAGGGAGGUAGAAUUCCAGGUGUAGCGGUGAAAUGCGUAGAGAUCUGGAGGAAUACCAGUGGCGAAGGCGGCCUCCUGGACUGACACUGACGCUGAGGCGCGAAAGCGUGGGUAGCAAACAGG